CCCUUAGAUGUUCUGGGCCGCACGCGCGCUACACUGACUACUUCAACGAGUUGUUUCCUUGAUCGAAAGGUCUGGGUAAUCUUUGAAAGGUAGUCGUGAUGGGGAUAGAUCCUUGCAAUUUUUGAUCUUCAACGAGGAAUUCCUAGUAAACGCAAGUCAUCAGCUUGCAUUGAUUACGUCCCUGCCCUUUGUACACACCGCCCGUCGCACCUACCGAUUGAAUGGUCCGGUGAAUCUUUAGGACUGUGGCUGAGGCCUUGCCUUGUGCGGGUCUGGCCGUGGGAAUUUAGUUAAACCUUACCAUUUAGAGGAAGGUGAAGUCGUAACG
This 328-nucleotide ribosomal RNA is filed under the name uncultured eukaryote. RNAcentral's name for it is "partial 18S ribosomal RNA". It matches the Rfam family "Eukaryotic small subunit ribosomal RNA", at positions 1470 to 1796 of the family's 1831-position model. The record is from RNAcentral.